ACUUUCAGCAACGGAUCUCUUGGCUCUCGCAUCGAUGAAGAACGCAGCNAAAUGCGAUAAGUAAUGUGAAUUGCAGAAUUCAGUGAAUCAUCGAAUCUUUGAACGCACCUUGCGCCCCUUGGUAUUCCGAGGGGCAUGCCUGUUUGAGUGUCAUUA
Molecule: ribosomal RNA, 156 nt
Filed under: Gymnopilus ochraceus
Lineage: Eukaryota; Fungi; Basidiomycota; Agaricomycetes; Agaricales; Galerinaceae
Description: 5.8S ribosomal RNA
Rfam family: 5.8S ribosomal RNA
About the family: 5.8S ribosomal RNA (5.8S rRNA) is a component of the large subunit of the eukaryotic ribosome.
Source: RNAcentral